RNAcentral lists this ribosomal RNA (103 nucleotides) under Eliurus minor (lesser tufted-tailed rat). RNAcentral describes it as "partial 12S ribosomal RNA". Lineage: Eukaryota; Metazoa; Chordata; Mammalia; Rodentia; Nesomyidae. The record is from RNAcentral.
GCUUAGCCUUAAACUAAAAUAAUUAUCAAACAAAACUAUUUGCCUGAGAACUACUAGCUACAGCUUAAAACUCAAAGGACUUCGGCGGUACUUUAUAUCCACC